RNAcentral lists this transfer RNA (72 nucleotides) under Candidatus Woesebacteria bacterium. RNAcentral describes it as "tRNA-Val". It matches the Rfam family "tRNA". From Rfam's summary of the family: Transfer RNA (tRNA) molecules are approximately 80 nucleotides in length. Their secondary structure includes four short double-helical elements and three loops (D, anti-codon, and T loops). Lineage: Bacteria; Candidatus Woeseibacteriota. The record is from RNAcentral.
GAGCAGUUAGCUCAGUGGUAGAGCACUUCGUUCACAUCGAAGGGGUCGCAGGUUCAAAUCCUGCACUGCUCA